UACGUAGGGGGCAAGCGUUGUCCGGAAUCAUUGGGCGUAAAGCGCGUGUAGGCGGCUUGGUAAGUCUGGUGUGAAACCUCGGGGCUCAACCCCGAGCCUGCACUGGAUACUGCCUCGCUCGAGUCCGGGAGGGGAGAGCGGAAUUCCUAGUGUAGCGGUGAAAUGCGCAGAUAUUAGGAAGAACACCGGUGGCGAAGGCGGCUCUCUGGAACAGUACUGACGCUGAGACGCGAAAGCGUGGGGAGCAAACAGG
This 253-nucleotide ribosomal RNA is filed under the name uncultured bacterium. Its description in RNAcentral is "partial 16S ribosomal RNA". It matches the Rfam family "Bacterial small subunit ribosomal RNA", at positions 524 to 776 of the family's 1533-position model. The record is from RNAcentral.